Molecule: unclassified non-coding RNA, 2929 nt
Filed under: Harpegnathos saltator (Jerdon's jumping ant)
Lineage: Eukaryota; Metazoa; Arthropoda; Insecta; Hymenoptera; Formicidae
Description: uPF0505 protein C16orf62 homolog, transcript variant X1
Source: RNAcentral
UCUGUCAUUUAACCUUGCGGGCGUAUUUUUGAUUGUCAAAUUUGGGAGCUAUACGAUAAACUGUAUAAUGUUGAUAUAAUAGAUUGUAUUGUAUGUGUUGUAUUACAGGAAAAGUAUCUUGAUGCAUGUAAAAUAUGACGGAGAUAGAAUGGAUAUCAAAACCUAUGGAAUAUGGAACUGUAAAGUUUACAUGCCUAGAAGAAGCUAUAGAACAUCCUCUAAAACCAGUUGUGAUUACUUUAAUUGAUGGACGUGGUGCAGUCAGACGCAAUAUAUUACGUAGUACAAGCACAGGUUCCUCCACUGGAACACCAACACCAACACAUACACCAAUUCCUGCAUAUCAACUGAAUGAUCCACUCUUGAGCCAUGCAUCUCUGGAUGGUUCUGAUCCUCUUACACAGUUUGCCCGUGAAGAACUGGAUCCUCUUUCCAAAAUGGCUGCAGAUGAAUGGGAUUACUCUUGUAACGUUGCACUGGCCAGCAAAAAACUGAAAGAUACAGCAGAGGAAUUAGUAGAACCAUGGUCUGUUAGACGUUCUGCCAUACUGAGCAAAUACACAACUUCUGAAAAACUAUCAAUUGUUACCAGUUUUUUACCAGGUGGAGAAAAAGUUGUAGUAAAAGUUCAACCAAGUGGUCCAAUGGUCGACAAAGUGAAGACGCGUCUCGAGCAGUUGGAUGACUUUGAGGAAGGUUCUGUGAGGCAAAUGUUGGAUCUGUCGCAACAACAAUAUACCGCGCGAAUCGAGCAAUUGAACAAUGAACUAGUACAAGCGUGGCAUUCUGAUCAAAGAGUAAAGGCUCUGAAAAUAGCCAUUCAGUGUGCCAAAUUAUUAGUAGAUACGUCUGUAAUGGCUUUUUAUCCAAGCAAGUUUGUUCUCAUCACAGACAUCUUGGAUAUCUUUGGGAAACUUGUAUACGACAGAUUGAAAAUGAAGGCUGAAUACUACAAACCAGGAAGCAAAGUGCCCACGAGUUUGCCUGAUAAUUUUACACCCGACAUGGUGCCGGAGAACGCGAAGGAGACAUGUCGGAAUUGGUUCUACAAGAUAGCGUCUAUACGCGAGCUGGUGCCGCGUCUAUAUGUCGAAAUGGCGAUAAUAAAGUCGUACAGCUUCUUAACGACAAGCGAAUUUAAUACCGCUCUAUUACGUAUAACUCGGAUGAUAAGAGGAAUCGGAAACCCAUUGAUAGCGGUUUACGCGCGAUGCUAUUUGUGUCGCGUGGGAUUGGCGUUGAACAAAACGUCAGAUUUUGAGUUUGUAAGGGAGAACUUGUAUGAUUUUCUUUUCACUUACCAGCAGCUGUUCGGAGCUGCUGUGAGGAGCGAAUUAACGAAGCAAAAUAUUACUUUACAUUCGUAUUUGAAUCUCUACUCGCCGGCCUUGGAUUGGAUCGUACAAGUUUUGGUGGCAACGUCGCCCGAGAGUCUUCUCGAGGAAGUUCUGUCUCGGUGUAAAAAACAAGAAAACGGAUCAUUAUUGUUAAAUACUGUGCUGACCGCAUUUAAGCCGACGUACAUUGCCGCACGCGCCAUGGACUUUGUGAAUCUAAUAGUAGCGAGCGAAGACGAUGGAUACCCUCAGUAUCUCUUGUAUCGCAGUUUGGGCGAGUGUCUCCUGCGAGAGUCUCCGCCGAAAGAGGAUUGCCAGUCGGUGCUGAACGUGAUAUGGAAGUAUGUGACGGAGCUCACGGAUCCCAACAAAUUCAUGCACUGCAUCGAGAUCUGGAUUCAGUUCACCGUCAUACAUUUUUCUGUGAAUGAACUCAAUUUGUUUUUCGGCAAAAUCAUAGAUCGCCUUCGACCGAACAAGGCUUUCGAGAGCUACUAUUUUCAAUUGCAAAACAUCGUUGAGAAGAUAGUCACCCACACGCAAGACUUUGAGUCAUUACUUGCCGUGGACAACUUCCUGCCGUUGAUAGAUCUGUUUCACAAAGAAGGUAUCAAAGUCGAGGUUUGCAAGACUGUUAUAGAAGGAUUGAGCGCGCAAAGCGGGCCCAUUACAGAUCCUAUUAUUAUAAACGCACUAAUGUUUAUCGCCAGAAUCAUGCACGACUCUGUUAGCGCUCUAACUGUCGAGGAUGAGAAACGGCAGAUUGGCCAACUGAUAUGCAGUCUCGUGCAACGGGUAGACUAUGGCCGUGAUUUCGAGAAGCAGCUAAGUUUCUACGCGGAAGCCAGAGCAGCAUUUCCUAAUCUCGAUAGUGUUCAUAUACAGCUUGUACAGUGUGUAAAUAGAUUAUCGGUCGACACUAGGAAAAUCGUGCGCGGCCACCAUACGAGGAGGACAUCAGCGUUCGUGCGCGCCUGUGCUGCAUUUUGUUUCAUCACGAUUCCAUCGUUGACUCUGGUCCACACACGCCUUCAAUUGUAUUUAUUAUCCGGACAGGUGGCUCUUUUGAAUCAGUGCCUGGGCCAAGCCGAUGCCUGCUUCAAGGCAGCUUUGAGCUUGGUUCCGGAAAUGCCGAAGACCAUCGACAUCGACGGCAGGCAGAAGAGUUCGCAGCCGUAUUUGCUCUCGUACCUGUCGAAUUUCUUGUCGACGUUGCUGGUGGUUCCGCGUUCCGUCAUUAGGAUAGUCCGGAGCACGGUGUCUUGUAUCUGAUGAGAGGUUUGCUCAACGCAGUCCAACGUUGUUUCGAAGAGAACACAUCGACCAAAUCGUACCUGUAUUUGCGCGUACUCGAUCUACUAUCGACGGUCGCCCAGGAAAAUUAUCCAUACCAUAUCGAUAAGGUCGAUUCGAAUGACAAGUUGUAUGGAUCUGAUCAAAAAUUCAUUGGCGAGGUGAAUAAAAUUUGCUCGAAAAUCGUGGAGGAAAUUUUGAGUCACCUCAAGUAUCUCGGAUCCACCGAUCAGUUUGACAAGCAGUCGGCCCUGGCGCUCGAAUUGUUCAACUGUUUCAUCAUUCGCGCGGAUCUACGG